GAGGGGUGGGGCGCAGAGGGCAGCCUGCACGCGGCAGAGGGAACCACCCGUACUGAUCCAGAAGCGCAACCUGUUUGGGCCCCAGGGAUAUUGGAUCGGGAUAGAAGUUUGGAACUAGACUCACACGUGGCCUGGUUUCCGGUGCCAGCUCUGGGUCUUUUUCACUGGGAAUUUUGGUCCUCUGAGCAUCAGUUUCCUCAUCUGACACCUGGGCACAAGGGCAGGGCCAACUUAUUGGGCACGGGGUUUAUGAUAUCACUUAUAUGUGGAAUCUAAAAUAAUAAUACAAAUGAACUUAUUUACAAAAAAAAAAAAAUAGACUCACAGACAUGGAAAACAAACUUAUGGUUACCAAAAGGGAAGGGGGAGGAAUAAAUUAGGAGUUGGGAUUAACAGAUACACACCACUGUAUAUAAAAUAGAUAACCAACAAGGACCUACUACUGUACAGCACAGGGAACUAUAUUCAAUAUCUUGUAAUAACCUAUAAUGGAAAAGAAUCUGAAAAAGUAUAUAUAUAUUCUGGAUCUGAAAAAGAAUAUAUAUGUAUAUACAGGUAUAGAUAUAUAGAUCGCAGCCACCACUUACAGAGGGCUCAUCAGCACUGUGCUUUCAUGCAUCCCUUCUUUCCUCAUCUGACUACUGCUUAUUGUGUGUCCCUAAGUGCCUGGCACUAUGCUACUCCUGGAGCUCAUUGGUGAACAAAUUGAACAUCACCCUCGCCCUGGGGGAGCCUGUAUUCACUUGAGGGAACAAACAAAUGAGACAAUAACAGAGCGUGACAAGUGCCGGUUGGUAUUCUGUGAUAAUAGGAGAGCCCAACUUUGGCAGUCUCUAAGAAACUUAUAUUUGAGCUGAGAGCCAUAUGGCAAAAGGAGCAAAGCAAGCCGGACCAAGGAGAGAACACCAGGAGAACAGAGCUGCUGGACAGAGGCUGGGCGUGUGUCCUUGGAACCCAAAGGCCACUGAGACUGGCACCUGGCAGGCCAGCGAGAAUCCUGGAUGAAGUGGGAGAGGUAGGCUUGGGGAGGUGGUGGUGGGGAGUUGGGUUUUUCACUGAGGACUCUUCGGAAAGAUGUAAUGCAUUAACAUAUGUAGAGCACCAAGCGUGGAGCUUGCACACAGUAGGUGCUCAGCAAGUAUUAGUCAUUAUGAUAAGGAUGAGGGAACUUGGAGUUGGGAAUGCAAGUUAAGAGGCCUCAGUGAGAGUUAACGGGGGCUAAGAAGGGGCCGGGGCGGCUGCUGCGAGAUUGAGGUUAAGUCCUGAGGAUGCAGCAGACUUGGGGAUGGCUAGGGAGACAGCCCGGGAAGAUGUUCCUGAGACUUGCAGCCUGUGUGCCAGGGGUGGAGCACCACGGAGACGGAGAGCCCAGGGGGCGGGCUGGUUUCUGCACGGGACCCUAAUGAGUUCGAUAAUGAGUUCAGAUUGGGUCGUGCUGAUUGGAGGUGCCAUGGGAACACCCAUGCCUGGAUGUCUUGCAGGUGUCCAGAGGUGGGAGUCCGCGGCUCUGGAUUAAGUGACUCGGCUCCAGCUUCUGUUCACGAGAUUAAAGUGUAUUAAGUUAAUGAGUGUCCCUGCUGUUGGCUUGUUUCAGGGUUCAUUUUCAUUUGCUUUCUGAAAAUGUUGCAAAGAAUGGAUGGCUGUUAAACUCCCACUACUUUUCCUCUUGGAAUUUUUUUUAACAGUACCUGAAUUGAAAGCAGGCAAAUUAAUGUAUGUAUAACUAAUUGCUUCUAUGGAAUCAGGGAUUAUUUAACUCACCUCUCUCUCAACCAAAAAGUUACUUAUUAUUAAAUGGAUUAACAAACAAUCCCUAGUGAAAGCAUUACAUUCCGUCUGUAAGUAGCAAUGAUUGAGAAUAAUUCAAUCUAUAGGUCUUGCCUCCUGAGAUAUCAUUGACCUGUUGUUUUUGAAAAGCCUCAUCUAAAAUGUCCAAAUUAGCUUGCAUUACUGAAAACAAGGACUCUAAAGUCUUUUAAGAUAUUUUCCUAUUUCAGAAAAAUUCUGGUGGAGAAUUUCCUUGGAAAUGAGAAGUUGGUUUCACUUAAUCCAUUCAAGAAAUACUUACUGGGUGCCUACUCGGGGUUAUGGGCUGUAAACCAUAGACGCUGUUUAUCUAGUGCUGAUGGCAGAAAAGAGAAAAGAAAUGUCUCUGAUGAUAGGGGAAGUGCGGAGAGGAGAGGGCUUGACCUCAGAGAGAGAGGUCAAGGGAAGCCUUUCUAGGGAAAUGAUGUUUAAUCUGAGACUUCAGACUUGAACCUGGAGGACAACAAUACAAAGAGGGCACAGUAGAGAAAAUCCAAGAUGACAGUGAAAGAAAAUGACUGGAGAGCAAAGAUGAAAUGGGGAGGGAGAGACAGAGAGACAGAGAUCCAAGCAGGAACCAUAUGCCCUAGAAACUUACAAGUGGUUUGGACUUUAUCCCUGGGGUAAUGGGUAGCGUUGAAAGCUUCUAAACACAAGAGUGACAUGUCAGAUGUAGGGUCUUCGGAAGGUCAUUCUGGCCGCCAUAAAGAAAGGGUUUGAAGGGUGCAAAGUGGAGGUUGGGAGACCAGUUAGGAUGCUGUGGAUGAGACAUCCAGGUGAGACUUGAUGGUAACUGAGACUGAGGCAGGUGUGGGGAUGAAGUGAGUACAUUUGGGAGAGGCUUAGGAGGCUGGACAGAUAGAAUCUGAAGGGUCUUAUCCGGUGAGUGUAUAAUAAACACACCAAUAUUUAAAUUCCUCAUCAUAUAGGUAGUUUCUAGUCGUGCUUCAGCCCACUCCUCUCUGUCUUCCGUCUCCUUCAUGCCACUGAACUACACUUGCCAAUGUUAACAUUUCUUUUGUACCCAAAGAACACCGCUGGGUCUUCAGUCUGUUUGAUCUGUCGAGAGUAAAUGCACAGGCAGCUCUGGCCUUCUUUUUUUUUUUUUUUUUUUUUUUGCGGUACGCGGGCCUCUCACUGUCGUGGCCUCUCCCAUUGCGGAGCACAGGCUCCGGACGCGCAGGCUCAGCGGCCAUGGCUCACGGGCCCAGCCGCUCUGCGGCAUGUGGGAUCUUCCCGGACCGGGGCACGAACCUGUGUCCCCUGCAUCGGCAGGCGGACUCUCAACCACUGUGCCACCAGGGAAGCCCAGCUCUGGGCUUCUUGAAACACUGUCCUUCCUCGGCAUCGGCAGCCCCACGCUUUCUUGGUUUUCCUCCUCCUUGCUCAGCUGUUCUGUCUCAGACUCCUUCCCCUCUUGUCCCUCUACUUGUUCUCUAGACACUGCAGAGCCUCGGGACUCAGGCCUGGACUCUUCCCUUCCCCACUCUCUCCCUAGGGGAUCUCAUUCACCCCCAUCUUUAAAGCCAUCUCUAUGCUGAGAACUCAAAUUUGUACCUGCAGCCCUCGUGUCUGCUCUCAUCUCCGGACUCGUGUAUCUACCGACCCAACUGCCCCUUGACCUCACCCUUAGGCUUCUCCAUGGGCAUCCCAACAUCUCCAUUAGCACCCCAAACGUGGUGCUUCUGCCUUCUUCCCCUCUCAGGAAAUGGGGCCACCAGCUCCAGGUACCAAUACCAAACACCUGCAAGUCAUCCUUAACUUCUUUCCCCUCCCCCAUCCAAUCCAAAGGCAAAUCCUGUAUCAGUCCCACUUUAAAAACACACCUCACGUCUCUCCACUUCUCCCCAUCUCCAUUGCCACCGUCUUGGUCCAGGUUUCCACUAAUUCUCACCUAGACACUGCAGGAGCCUUUCUCAGUCUUUUCUCCAAACAUCCACAGAGUUUUUUCUUUUUUAAUUUUGCUGAAUCACUUUAUCAUAAAGGAAAAAAAUCCAAAGAUUGCAAAACUCCCCUAUUUUUUGGCUAUAAUUUGUAUCCUUAUGAUGCAAGUAAAAUGAACAAAUACUUACUGAACUUCUAGAUGCAAGGUUACAUACCACAGAGGGAGCAAGGUGACCAAGGUGACUAUGACCCAUGCCAUCAAGAAGCUGAAAAUUCACUAAGGAGAGAGAUCAUUUAAAUAUGAAGGUGAAAAUGACAUUGGCUGUGACAGAAGUGCUGAUAAAGUUUUCCUGAAAUCAGAAAAGGAAGAUUUUAUUUCUUUUUUUAUGUUCAUAUUUCUUUUACUUUUUAAUUUAAAAACAUUUUUUAUUUUAUAUUGGAGUAUAGUUGAUUUACAAUAUUGUGUUAGUUUCAGGUGUACAGCAAAGUGAUUCAGUUAUACAUAUACAUACAUCUAUUCUUUUUCAGAUUCUCUUCCCAUGUAGGUUAUUACAGAAUAUUGAGUAGGGUUCCCUGUGCUAUACAGUAGGUCCUUGUUGACUAUCUAUUUUACGUAUAGCAGUGUGUAUAUGUUAAUCCCAAACUCCUAAUUUAUCCCUCCCCCGCUUCCCCUCUAGUAACCAUAAGUUUAUUUUCUAUGUCUGUGAGUCUGUUUCUGUUUUGUGAAUAAGUUCACUUGUAUCAUUUUUUUAGAUUCCACAUAUAAGUGAGAUCAUAACGACAUUUUAUUUUAUUUCUUUUUCCCUCCUGCCCAUUUUAUUUCACUUCUGACUGAGAUGGUUAGGCACUGUUUCUUGGGAGAAAUGCUUUUGAGCAGAUACUAAAGGGGUAGGCAGAAUUUGAGCACGUUGAGAUUAGAGGGAAGGGCAUUUGAAGGGGAAGGACCAGGAGGGAAGGUGUGAGAAGUAAGGAAUGGCUCCGUUUGGUUGAUCAUAGGAAAGAAAAGGGCCGUGGGAGAGAAGGAUGGGAAAUAGGGUGAGAUCGUGGAAUGCCUUGAAUUACAUGCUGAAGAGUUUAACCUUCCUCCUGUGGGAUAUAGGCAAUGGAAAACUAUGAUAGUUUUUGACCAGGAGUAUCCCAUGAACAAACUUUAAUCUGAUGAGAAUGAUCUAGCAAUGGUGUGUACGAUUUAGACGGUAUACAGUUUUCAUCCCUUAACUUCCUUUCUGCUUCUCCAAAGUGACUCACUGGCCACCACAAAGUGUUUGAACACUCCUGUCUUCAAGAGGUGGGGCUUAGUUUUCUGUCUUCUUGAGUGUGGGCUGAAUGUAGCUAUUUCAUUCUAAUGAAUGGAAUAAAGCAGGGACAGGGUGAGAUUCACAGAGUAGGUCAUAAAAGGACACUGUGACUUCCAUCUUGGUCACACUGUCCCUUGGGUCACUUGCUUUGGAGGAAGAUCGACACCAAGGUGUGGGCAGACCUAUGGAGAGAACCACGUGGUGAAGAACUAAGGCAUCCUACACCAGCCAAGAAAGUGAACUUGGAAGUGUGUCUCCCCCUCCCAUUCAAACCCCAGCUGACAUCUUGACUGCAGCCUUGCGAGAGACCUUCAAUCAGAAACACCAAGCUAUGCUGCUUCCCAGUUUCUGACCUAUAGAAACAAUGAGAUAAUAAAUGUGUGUCGCUUUAAGCCAAUACAUUUGGGGUAAUUUCUUAUGAAGCAAAAAUUAAUGAAUGCAAGUACCCAGAGUGAUCUUUUAAAAUCAGAUUAUGUCCCUCCUCUGUUUGAUACCCCUCAGCGGCUUCCAUUUCACCUGAAAGAAAGACAAACCAUUUUCUCACAUCUGGCAUGAUGACAGAGUGGGAUCAACAAAUCCUGUCCCCCAAAGCUGGACAACACUGUCAAAAAUAGUCACUGCAGCCUUGUGCAAGCUGACCGAAGGCAUUCAACAACCUGAGAAGCGUUUCUUAAUGAACAUGACCAAGCUUCAGGUGAGAACACCGUGAAUCUCUGACAUUUUUGCCCAUGUAUGCUCCUACGCUUGAAAGCAACAAGGGGAAUACGAUUCACGACUGACUUCUCUUUAGAAAUAAUGGAGACCAAAGGCAGCAGAAUGACAUACUUGAAAUGCUGACAUAAGACACACUGUCAAGCAAGAAUUCUCAGUCUAGCAAAUAUAAAAAAUGAAGGUGAAAUAUAUGCAUUUUCAGAUAAACAAAGACUGAAGAAUUUGUUGCUAGCAGACCUGCCUUACGAGAAAUACUAAAGGAAGUUUUUCAACCUGAAAUCGAUGCUAGGCAGUGAUUUGAAUUCACAAGAAGAAAUGAAGAAUACCAGAAAUGGUGACUUUUAUUCACGCUUCAGACCUCAACUCAUACAUCAUUCCCCUGGAGUAGCCCUCCUGAUUCGCCAGAAGAAGGCUAAGACAUGGUACCAUUUUGCAACAACAGGAGAGAAGCCAAGAGAACUAUGGAGGCAUAGGCUCUGCCAUUGAUGAGCUGCUGAGAUAACACCAGGAAACACCUACCUCCAGAAUUCUUGAAGGCAGACAACUCAGCUUUCAAAUGAUUUGUACUAUGUGGAUGAACUGCAGAUGGACAGUUACGAAGACCCAGGGUUGCAGUGACCUAACACCAAGAAAUGAAAACUCUAGAAAACUAGCCCUUCACGUAUACAAGACAUGAACACCCUGAGGGCAGGGGCCACAGGGCAAAGGUUUCACUGAGUCCUUUAAUCUGACCUGAGGUUAGAAAUCAGCAGUCACGAAGGUAGCCAACUUUCGAGGGAACUUGGCAACAGUGGAGGAGGGCCCGUGAGGCUCCAGCCCAAACCUUGGGAGCUCCGGCAUGAAGUCAGCAUGCUGGUAAGAGGACAACUUUGGAAUGUCAAAGUCCGGCCUGAGCAAAAUGCCUACGGGGUGUCCUGGUCUGCAGAGGGCAGAAAGAAAGCUCUGCUGAGCCGAAAAGGAGCCUAGAGGAAAAAGCUUUCAUUGGUCCAUCUCACCAGCCACACAAAGGCCCUGGGUCCUAUCCUCCAGCAAGAUGAUGCCAGAUGGCUGACGGACAGAGAACCACCUCCAAAAGUUGACAAAUCUCCCACUUUGGGGACUGGUUCCAAUAAGGAUGCUUCUCACUGUGAUGGUUGAAGGCAUCAACCAGCUUAAAGCAGCAUUAGGUUUUUUGCCUCCUUAUCCUGAAAAGACAAAUCUCUACCUUCUGAGUACCAGGAUAUUUUCAUAAUUGUACUCUCCGCUUCAAAAAGCCUAGCUGUGAAAGAAUCCUUCAAAGGAAGUUGAUAUAAAACUUAGUUGGGACCCAGAGACAUCUAAUCUGCAAGUUAAAUGGAUAUUCCAUGCAUUCAUAACCAUUCAAAGCAUCCUAAUGUCUAGAGAAACCUAACUGGCCCCAUCCUAUCAUGAUGUUAUUAUUAACCCGGGCCUCAGGGGGGCGCCCUAGAGCAGGGGAACUUAAAGUCAUUCUCAGCCUUAAAAGUGAAUUUCUUAAACGGUUUUCUAUUAGUUAAAUCAGUAAUUAGUCUAAAUACAUCAUUUCAGUAAUCUGCCAUGAGUCAGUUGAAUGCAAAAUGGGGGGAAAAACUGUGGGCUAACUAGGGUGAUCCCCAAGGACACAAUGUUUUAAUCUUAGAUAUAAAAUAACUUUAUAUUUCAUUUGCCUUGCACAUUCUUAAAUGUGUUAAAUAGAUGUGUAUUCCUCAACCUGGCAUAACUACAUAUCCUCUAGAUUUACUGAGCGUACAGAAGGCAGACAGGGCAACUUUGUGGAAAAAAAAAAAAAAGAAGAAGAAAGAAGAAAACUAAAGAAUAGAACUCUACAACAAAAAUGUAGUUUCUAAAAUGGAUGCCAAAGUAGAAAAGAUAUUGAGAGAAAAAUAUAUGUGUAUUUCAGCAAAACUACAAACACACCAAAACAGGUACAAGCAGCAUGAAAACCCCAGGGGAACAAACCCCAAAAAUCACUCUAAUUUAUAGUAACUGAACCCUUGGCUUUACCUUCCUCCCAACACCUGAUAAUUCUGUGAAAUCACCCAGCUGUCACUCUUUUCCUUUUAGAAACAUGACACUGAUUUGUCUUUAUUAGAAUUCAGAGGUCUGCUUGAUGGGGCCCCUAAUAAAUGUAAGUCAUCAUCA
Orcinus orca (killer whale) is the source of this 7838-nucleotide long non-coding RNA. RefSeq lists it as uncharacterized. Lineage: Eukaryota; Metazoa; Chordata; Mammalia; Artiodactyla; Delphinidae. The transcript has 5 exons. The record is from RefSeq and is a predicted model, not a curated record.